This 270-nucleotide small nucleolar RNA is filed under the name Neurospora tetrasperma FGSC 2509. Its description in RNAcentral is "Fungal small nucleolar RNA U3". It matches the Rfam family "Fungal small nucleolar RNA U3". Rfam says of the family: Small nucleolar RNAs (snoRNAs) are involved in the processing and modification of rRNA in the nucleolus. There are two main classes of snoRNAs: the box C/D class, and the box H/ACA class. The record is from Rfam by way of RNAcentral. Lineage: Eukaryota; Fungi; Ascomycota; Sordariomycetes; Sordariales; Sordariaceae.
CACUGCGCUUCACAGGAGAAUCAUUUCUAUAGUAUUUGUCCUCUUUUGUGUUCCCUAAAGGAGCCACAGAUCCCACCCGGGUUGAUGAACUAUAUCCUCGUUUCCCAACAGUGAGGUCCCUUUAUUUUACUCUCGCUCUGCCUGCAAAGGUGGCGAUCUUGCUUUACUGCAAGAUUGUAUAGAGAGUGGCGAUGAUCUGUACCCCGAUUUUUCUCAAGGUCUGCCUUCGGGCGCUUGGGCGGGGUGGGUUUCGAUGGAAGUCUGACCGGC